GAUUGAACGCUGGCGGUAGGCUUAACACAUGCAAGUCGUGCGAGAAAGUAUCUUACGGAUAUGAGUAGAGUCGGUCGGACGGGUGAGUAACGCGUAGGAAGUCUACCUAGUAGAAGGGGAUAGCCCCGAGGAAACUCGGAGUUAAUACCGUAUACCUACUUUAGGGAGAAAGAGGGCCUCUCUUGAUGCUCUCGCUAUUAGAUGAGCCGUAGCGUAAGAUUAGCUUGUUGGUCGAGGUAAUGGC
Molecule: ribosomal RNA, 244 nt
Filed under: uncultured bacterium
Lineage: Bacteria
Description: partial 16S ribosomal RNA
Rfam family: Bacterial small subunit ribosomal RNA
Source: RNAcentral